AAACCAAGGGUAUUAGAGAUAUUUUAUCCUUUAAUGAAUGUCAUUUUUGUGACUUUCUCCUUCUAGUGCUAUUUUUGAGACAUAAACUUCAAAAGGUGCUAUUAUUGACAAUUGUCCUUUAUAAAUGCUAGAUACAAUAAGAAGACAUUUGAAAGAAAAUUGAAAUCAUCUCAAAUCCUUGAUUCAAUAAGACACCUUUAAUUCAGGACUCUCUCUUCUCUCUUCAAAAUCUUUCAGAGAGAGAGAGAGAGAGAGCCUUAGAUUAACUCGCUGGAUUUGUUACCGGCGUUAAGACUCCUGGUGUUUGGGCUUCGACUCUGGCAAACGAUGUCUCCUAUGGCACCGUCUUGGCCGGCUUUCGCCUCUGAGAAGCGGUGGUUUUCACAACAUCGUCUUGGCCGGCUUACCUCUAGCCUUUGCUUCUCCGAUUCAUCUUCUAUGUUUAUCGGCCAGCUUUUUUUUUGUUUUGGAAUUUUGUUUAAUAGUUUUAAUUUUCUUUCAAUCUACGUUUCUCUGUUUUUUAAAGUUUCAAUCAGAUCAAAAAUUUUGAUCGAUUUGUUCUCAUCCUUCCAUAUUUGAUAGGAUUUAAUCAUCUUCAAGCUUACUUAAAUUUUCAAAGAUGAUUCGAUUUGCAUUGCUUUUCUUUGCUUCAUGUUUCUGAUUUGCUUCCGGUGGAACGCCGACUAGACCGUCCGGCAAUAACUUUUCUUUGGGUGAAGCUAUGUGACGCCUCUGCUCCAAGACACGUGUCCUCCUUCAACACGUGUGAGCCUUCGUGGCUGGUCACUGUCUUCCGUUAGCCGUCUCUUGUUUCUGGGCUUUGGGUAUCUUGUGUAUUUUCUUAUGUUUGCCCUUUUAGGCUUUUAGUUGUAAAUGUUUGUCCAUUAAUAAUACUAGAUGACAAAAAAAAAAUAAGACCCCUUUAGUUUUUACUACAAAUGUUUUCUUAAUGUACAUUUUUUUUUUCUUCCA
Brassica napus (rape) is the source of this 972-nucleotide long non-coding RNA. RefSeq lists it as uncharacterized. The record is from RefSeq and is a predicted model, not a curated record. NCBI's taxonomy places the organism in Eukaryota, Viridiplantae, Streptophyta, Magnoliopsida, Brassicales, Brassicaceae. The transcript has 2 exons.